Molecule: long non-coding RNA, 2326 nt
Organism: Topomyia yanbarensis
Lineage: Eukaryota; Metazoa; Arthropoda; Insecta; Diptera; Culicidae
Exons: 4
Source: RefSeq, a predicted model, not a curated record
AAGUAUUUCUUGAGCGUUUUUUCAAAACGUCAUAUCUGCAAUGAGUUACUCUCUGUUUAUACUUUCUCUUUCGAUUUUUACGGCGUCACUAUAACACUUCUCACUUAUUUUACAGUACAGAUCGAAAGACGGUGGUUUUAACUAGCAUAUUAUGCAAAAAGCUGAGGGAUAAAUGUUAAAGUGACCGAAUUAUUAACAGAAGAGAAAGUAAACAAAGAGAGUAACUCAUUGCAGAUAUGACGUUUUGAAAAAACGCUCAAGAUUUCCUCGUCAAUGAUUGAUUCUCAAAGUCUGCUGGAUUAUUUUGGAUAACGAUUCACCAAGUAUAAACUUACCACUCAAACGAAGCAGGAAUGUAUGGCUUCGUCUAGCUUAUUCGGUAACAUGAUGUCGCUGGCUGGUUCGUAACAGGCAAUGUAGAUUGGUUUCAAGUAUAAUCCGAAUAAUUAUGAUCUGAAGACCCUUCCGUUAUUGUCUUUUCUUGGAGGCGGGUAUCAAGAAUGGCUGGAUGGGCGCCAUAGAAAAAUAAUGAGGAUGACAUGUACUUUUCCCUCUCAACCAUAUUAUGUUUACAACAUUAACUCCGUAAAACUGGAAAAAAAUUAUUUCUUGGGGACACAAAUCCUCUGAACGAGCUACCACCCGAUGAAUCAGCGAGAAUGCCCCGAAUAUAAUUACGGACUCACACAUGAGGCAAACGGUAAGUUCUGAAUUUUGGCUAUGUUUGGUUUUUGGUUUAAUUUGGGUGCAUUUUCAGGUUUACUUCGACGGUUUAGAUAAACGCGAUAAAAAUUAUUUCGCCAAGCUGGUGCUUACAGGGAUACUAAAUCAAUGCAGGAAGCCGAAGACGAUCUGCGAUCACCUAUUGAUUUUGCCUUGUGGAAAAUCAGCACUAUCUAGACAUUCACAGUGAUUCGCAUCAUGACACGAGUUGGUGCAGACAACGUUUGUAUCAUCUGCACUGACACGUUUUUAGCUACCGGUGAACUACCUCAACAGCUGCCGAGGUCAAAGAGUACUGAUAGCAAAAAUAUCCGAACGUUGAAGCAGCUUGAAAAAGGAGCAGUUUCCGAAACGGUGCCUGUACACUAUCUGUGGUGAAGCAAUGCACUGCUACGAACUGACUGGUCUUGUGAACAAAGGAUAAUCUGAAGCAGCUUGGUACUCGGUUGCAGUACAUUCAGAAUUUCAACAUAGCCGUUUAUAUGUUUCAGAACUAGCGAAUCCCGAGUAUCUACUGGUAUGUCGCGCAUACUGAAGCAUAACGUUCUAUAUGAGCGUCAAGAUCCGUAAGAGCGUGAAGAACUUUAUUUGGGGAGUUUUCCGUAUCAUUAAGAAAUCAGGAAAAAUAGAAUAUUGAUAAGGAAUAGUUUAUUUUCUCUUAAGUAACCAGUACCGUGAUGUGAUAAGCUUUAUUAAACCUGAAUUGAACCUUUAGUAAUAGCUAAAUUAAUUAAAUAAUUAAUUAUAAUAAUUAAUAGGUAAGUGGAUAGAUAAACCGCAGUUGUUGUUAUAAGAAUCUAACCAAAAUAUUUGAUUAUUUUGAACAAUUUAAUCGCUGAUCCCUUCUAUAACCAUACCAAAAAUACAAAUUCAUUGAUGCUGAAAUGACGAUCAAAAGUUCAUCGAAUCAAGCUGCGUAAUUAAUGAAGCCCCUUUCAUCAAUCUUCGUUCAUACUCCUUGUCAAUAUCACCGUCAACCAGGAGCAUCAGACGAAAGAAAAUUGAGCGGACAACGUCAAUGCAGCUGUGUAUAAAGGCCAUCAAAUGUAGUAAUCACAACAUGAAGGGUGAUUUCAGGUCGGGCUCUGAAAACGACUACGAUUUCUUUUAAUUUUUACUAGGUUAGUGAAAAUGUUAUCCUAACUGAUACUAAUGGAAUCACAGCUCUUGGGGCUGACCUUCAAAAGAUUGAAUUUGGAAUAGCCAAUAGAAUUGAGUAGUUUAUGUCGUUUCUGCUUACGUUAUAUGAUAGGGUGCGCUUUUCCAUAUUUUAAACAUCUUGCGGCAACAUACACGAAACUAGAGCUUCUUUAUGACGACACAUAGAUGUCCGUACCAUAAAAUAUCCUCAUCCCAGUAAAUUACAUUCGGAAUGAGAUUUGGAAUAUGGGCUGAUUUAUGAUGGAAUUCCAACCGAAGGCAACAACCCACCCUGAAUGAAUCGGUUUUCGAAUCGGUUGUUACAUUUGCGCUUAAAUUCUAAAAGAAAACAUUCCGAUUGCGAUGAGCAGGGAAUCUGCUGUCAAAACGAGUGAAACAGAGAGUUGUGAGAGAAAGAGUUUCAACUUUUCUUGGUGGAAACCAAUGAGUAAAAUGUAUGGGC